RNAcentral lists this ribosomal RNA (468 nucleotides) under uncultured bacterium. Its description in RNAcentral is "partial 16S ribosomal RNA". It matches the Rfam family "Bacterial small subunit ribosomal RNA", at positions 28 to 507 of the family's 1533-position model. The record is from RNAcentral.
GACGAACGCUGGCGGCGUGCUUAACACAUGCAAGUCGAACGGAAAGGCCCUGCUUUUGUGGGGUGCUCGAGUGGCGAACGGGUGAGUAACACGUGAGUAACCUGCCCUUGACUUUGGGAUAACUUCAGGAAACUGGGGCUAAUACCGGAUAGGAGCUCCUGCUGCAUGGUGGGGGUUGGAAAGUUUCGGCGGUUGGGGAUGGACUCGCGGCUUAUCAGCUUGUUGGUUGGGUAGUGUCUUACCAAGGCUUUGACGGGUAGCCGGCCUGCGAGGGUGACCGGCCACAUUGGGACUGAGAUACGGCCCAGACUCCUCCGGGAGGCAGCAGUGGGGAAUAGUGCACGAUGGGCGGAAGCCUGAUGCAGCACCGCCGCGUGCGGGAUGACGGCAUUCGGGUUGUAAACCGCAUUCGCCUGUGACGAAGCGUGAGUGACGGUAAUGGGUAAAGAAGCACCGGCUAACUACGUG